This 468-nucleotide ribosomal RNA is filed under the name uncultured bacterium. RNAcentral describes it as "partial 16S ribosomal RNA". It matches the Rfam family "Bacterial small subunit ribosomal RNA", at positions 28 to 507 of the family's 1533-position model. The record is from RNAcentral.
GACGAACGCUGGCGGCGUGCUUAACACAUGCAAGUCGAACGGAAAGGCCCUGCUUUUGUGGGGUGCUCGAGUGGCGAACGGGUGAGUAACACGUGAGUAACCUGCCCUUGACGUUGGGAUAACUUCAGGAAACUGGGGCUAAUACCGGAUAGGAGCUCCUGCUGCAUGGUGGGGGUUGGAAAGUUUCGGCGGUUGGGGGUGGACUCGCGGCUUAUCAGCUUGUUGGGGGGGUAGUGGCUUACCAAGGCUUUGACGGGUAGCCGGCCUGGGAGGGUGACCAGCCACAUUGGGACUGAGAUACGGCCCAGAGUCGUACGGGAGGCAGCAGUGGGGAAUAUUGCACAAUGGGCGGAAGCCUGAUGCAGCAACGCCGCGUGCGGGAUGACGGCCUUCGGGUUGUAAACCGCUUUCGCCUGUGACGAAGCGUGAGUGACGGUAAUGGGUAAAGAAGCACCGGCUAACUACGUG